CCUGUAUAUAGUCUCCACAUUGACUCUGUACCGUAAUACCCUGUAUAUAGUCUCCACAUUGACUCUGUACCGGGUAUUACGGUACAGAGUCAAUGUGGAGACUAUAUACAGGGGGUACCGAUACAGAGUCAAUGUGGAGACUAUAUACAGGGGGUACCGAUACAGAGUCAAUGUGGAGGCUAUAUACAGGGGGUACCGGUACAGAGUCAAUGUGGAGGCUAUAUACAGGGGGUAACGGUACAGAGUCAAUGUGGAGGCUAUAUACAGGGGGUACCGGUACAGAGUCAAUGUGGAGGCUAUAUAUAGGGGGUACCGGUACAGAGUCAAUGUGGAGGCUAUAUACAGGGGGUACCGGUACAGAGUCAAUGUGUG
This is a long non-coding RNA of Oncorhynchus tshawytscha (Chinook salmon), 372 nucleotides long. NCBI's taxonomy places the organism in Eukaryota, Metazoa, Chordata, Actinopteri, Salmoniformes, Salmonidae. The record is from Ensembl.